RNAcentral lists this ribosomal RNA (253 nucleotides) under uncultured bacterium. Its description in RNAcentral is "partial 16S ribosomal RNA". It matches the Rfam family "Bacterial small subunit ribosomal RNA", at positions 524 to 776 of the family's 1533-position model. The record is from RNAcentral.
UACGUAGGGUGCGAGCGUUGUCCGGAAUUAUUGGGCGUAAAGAGCUUGUAGGCGGUUUGUCGCGUCUGCCGUGAAAGCCCAGGGCUUAACCCUGGGUCUGCGGUGGGUACGGGCAGACUAGAGUGUGGUAGGGGAGACUGGAAUUCCUGGUGUAGCGGUGAAAUGCGCAGAUAUCAGGAGGAACACCGGUGGCGAAGGCGGGUCUCUGGGCCGAUAUUGACGCUGAGGAGCGAAAGCGUGGGGAGCGAACAGG